RNAcentral lists this ribosomal RNA (408 nucleotides) under uncultured bacterium. RNAcentral's name for it is "partial 16S ribosomal RNA". It matches the Rfam family "Bacterial small subunit ribosomal RNA", at positions 28 to 526 of the family's 1533-position model. The record is from RNAcentral.
GACGAACGCUGGCGGCGUGCUUAACACAUGCAAGUCGAACGAAGUGGCGAACGGGUGAGUAACGCGUAAUCAACCUGCCCUUCAGAGGGGGACAACAGUUGGAAACGACUGCUAAUACCUCAUACUGAAGGAGGGGAUUUCGUCUGAUUAGCUAGUUGGAGAGGUAACGGCCCACCAAGGGGAUGAUCAGUAGCCGGUCGGAAAGGAAGAGCGGCCACAUUGAGACGGAGACACGGCCCAGACUGCUACGGGAGGCAGCAGUGGGGAAUCUUCCGCAAUGGACGAAAGUUUGACGGAGCAACGCGGCGUGAGUGAUGACGGCCUUCGGGUUGUAAGGAUCUGUUAAUCGGGACGCGGUUCCGGAAUAGAAAGCCACGGCUGACUACGUGCCAGCAGCCGCGGUAGUUC